This 677-nucleotide ribosomal RNA is filed under the name Salmonella enterica subsp. enterica serovar Bredeney. RNAcentral's name for it is "partial 23S ribosomal RNA". It matches the Rfam family "Bacterial large subunit ribosomal RNA", at positions 911 to 1586 of the family's 2925-position model. Lineage: Bacteria; Pseudomonadati; Pseudomonadota; Gammaproteobacteria; Enterobacterales; Enterobacteriaceae. The record is from RNAcentral.
UGUUUCGGCUAGGGGGCCAUCCCGGCUUACCAACCCGAUGCAAACUGCGAAUACCGGAGAAUGUUAUCACGGGAGACACACGGCGGGUGCUAACGUCCGUCGUGAAGAGGGAAACAACCCAGACCGCCAGCUAAGGUCCCAAAGUCAUGGUUAAGUGGGAAACGAUGUGGGAAGGCCCAGACAGCCAGGAUGUUGGCUUAGAAGCAGCCAUCAUUUAAAGAAAGCGUAAUAGCUCACUGGUCGAGUCGGCCUGCGCGGAAGAUGUAACGGGGCUAAACCAUGCACCGAAGCUGCGGCAGCGACACUCAGGUGUUGUUGGGUAGGGGAGCGUUCUGUAAGCCUGCGAAGGUGGCCUGUGAGGGUUGCUGGAGGUAUCAGAAGUGCGAAUGCUGACAUAAGUAACGAUAAAGCGGGUGAAAAGCCCGCUCGCCGGAAGACCAAGGGUUCCUGUCCAACGUUAAUCGGGGCAGGGUGAGUCGACCCCUAAGGCGAGGCCGAAAGGCGUAGUCGAUGGGAAACGGGUUAAUAUUCCCGUACUUGGUGUUACUGCGAAGGGGGGACGGAGAAGGCUAUGUUGGCCGGGCGACGGUUGUCCCGGUUUAAGCGUGUAGGUGUGUGUUCCAGGUAAAUCCGGUUCACUUUAACACUGAGGCGUGACGACGAGGCACUACGGUGCU